RNAcentral lists this transfer RNA (74 nucleotides) under Candidatus Iainarchaeum sp. RNAcentral's name for it is "tRNA-Phe". It matches the Rfam family "tRNA". From Rfam's summary of the family: Transfer RNA (tRNA) molecules are approximately 80 nucleotides in length. Their secondary structure includes four short double-helical elements and three loops (D, anti-codon, and T loops). Further hydrogen bonds mediate the characteristic L-shaped molecular structure. tRNAs have two regions of fundamental functional importance: the anti-codon, which is responsible for specific mRNA codon recognition, and the 3' end, to which the tRNAs corresponding amino acid is attached (by aminoacyl-tRNA synthetases). tRNAs cope with the degeneracy of the genetic code in two manners: having more than one tRNA (with a specific anti-codon) for a particular amino acid; and 'wobble' base-pairing, i.e. permitting non-standard base-pairing at the 3rd anti-codon position. The record is from RNAcentral. Lineage: Archaea; Nanobdellati; Candidatus Iainarchaeota; Candidatus Iainarchaeia; Candidatus Iainarchaeales; Candidatus Iainarchaeaceae.
GGGACCGUAGCUCAGUCUGGGAGAGCACACGGCUGAAGACCGUGGUGUCGCGGGUUCAAAUCUCGCCGGUCCCA